Molecule: ribosomal RNA, 465 nt
Filed under: uncultured bacterium
Lineage: Bacteria
Description: partial 16S ribosomal RNA
Rfam family: Bacterial small subunit ribosomal RNA
Source: RNAcentral
GAUGAACGCUGGCGGCGUGCUUAACACAUGCAAGUCGAACGAUGAAGCCCAGCUUGCUGGGUGGAUUAGUGGCGAACGGGUGAGUAACACGUGAGUAACCUGCCCUUGACUCUGGGAUAAGCCUGGGAAACUGGGUCUAAUACCGGAUAGGAACGUCCACCGCAUGGUGGGUGUUGGAAAGAUUUAUCGGUCAUGGAUGGACUCGCGGCCUAUCAGCUUGUUGGUGAGGUAAUGGCUCACCAAGGCGACGACGGGUAGCCGGCCUGAGAGGGUGACCGGCCACACGGGGACUGAGACACGGCCCAGACUCCUACGGGAGGCAGCAGUGGGGAAUAUGGCACAAUGGGCGAAAGCUGAUGCAGCGACGCCGCGUGAGGGAUGACGGCCUUCGGGUUGUAAACCUCUUUCAGUAGGGAAGAAGCGAAAGUGACGGUACCUGCAGAAGAAGCACCGGCUAACUACGUG